This 229-nucleotide ribosomal RNA is filed under the name uncultured bacterium. Its description in RNAcentral is "partial 16S ribosomal RNA". It matches the Rfam family "Bacterial small subunit ribosomal RNA", at positions 568 to 796 of the family's 1533-position model. The record is from RNAcentral.
CGUGUAGGCGGCCUAUUAAGUCAGAUGUGAAAGCCCUCGGCUCAACCGAGGAACUGCAUUUGAAACUGAUAGGCUUGAGUACGGGAGAGGAGAGUGGAAUUCCCGGUGUAGAGGUGAAAUUCGUAGAUAUCGGGAAGAACACCGGUGGCGAAGGCGGCUCUCUGGACCGAUACUGACGCUGAGACGCGAAAGCGUGGGGAGCAAACAGGAUUAGAUACCCUGGUAGUCC